Molecule: ribosomal RNA, 492 nt
Filed under: uncultured bacterium
Lineage: Bacteria
Description: partial 16S ribosomal RNA
Rfam family: Bacterial small subunit ribosomal RNA
Source: RNAcentral
AGUGAACGCUGGCGGUAGGCCUAACACGUGCAAGUCGAACGGCAGCACAGUAAGAGCUUGCUCUUACGGGUGGCGAGUGGCGGACGGGUGAGGAAUACAUCGGAAUCUACUUUUUCGUGGGGGAUAACGUAGGGAAACUUACGCUAAUACCGCAUACGACCUACGGGGGAAAGCAGGGGAUCUUCGGACCUUGCGCGAUUGAAUGAGCCGAUGUCGGAUUAGCUAGUUGGCGGGGUAAAGGCCCACCAAGGCGACGAUCCGUAGCUGGUCUGAGAGGAUGAUCAGCCACACUGGAACUGAGACACGGUCCAGACUCCUACGGGAGGCAGCAGUGGGGAAUAUUGGACAAUGGGCGCAAGCCUGAUCCAGCCAUACCGCGUGUGUGAAGAAGGCCUUCGGGUUGUAAAGCCCUUUUGUUGGGAAAGAAAAGCAGCAGGUUAAUACCCCGCUGUUCUGACGGUACCCAAAGAAUAAGCACCGGCUAACUUCGUG